RNAcentral lists this unclassified non-coding RNA (797 nucleotides) under Hevea brasiliensis (rubber tree). Lineage: Eukaryota; Viridiplantae; Streptophyta; Magnoliopsida; Malpighiales; Euphorbiaceae. The record is from RNAcentral.
AUCAAAGCUUUUGAAUGACAAAUAAUGAAAACCUAUACUCCAUUCAAAUAAUAUAUUUGCUUCGAAUACAAUCUCCUUGAAAAUUGGAGGCACAAAAAAUAUUGUAAGCAACAGUCAUAUGAAACUACAUAACUUAAACUAACAUAUUUACCUAAAAAACCACCCAUCGGGGUUUCAUUCUGGCCAACAAAAGCUUUGAUAUCUUUAUUCCCAUCACAGAAAGAACUGGGUUAAGUAAAAGAAAACCAUUUGAUUGAAAAAUUGAUCAAUGAGAACCAAUCUAACGAUCACUACUUAAAAAGGCUUUGACAAAAUUCAGGCUUCAUCUUCUCUUUGGUCACCCGGGGUUCCAGCAAGCCAACCCCACAUGCCACCAGAGCCCUGCCUAUGUUUUGCAUUUAAGGCAGCUUGUUCAGAAGCUGCCUUUUGCCGCUGCAGGAGUUCUAGCUCUUUUUGCAGCGUCUCCAUUGUUUGAAGCUUUUGUCUUAGUUCUGCAACAUCAACCUCUAGUUUGAAACAUCUGGACUGCUCAGCAGCAAGCUGGCCACGCACAGAUUGGAGCUCCUUGUAAAGAUCAGUGUUACGAGUCUCAGCUUCAGCUAAUUCUUGCUUUAGUUGGAUAGUUUGUGAUUUCUCCUUGCUAAGAGAGGAUUCCAGUUCUUCUUUUUCCGACUUCAAAGUUGCUAUAAGAUGUUCACUGGAUACUUCACCCUUAGAUUUCAUGGGCUCUGGAUCAACAUUAUCCAUAACAAUUUCUCUUAUUUUGCCUUCUUGGCCUGCUUCAAACUCCAAUUCCA